Molecule: ribosomal RNA, 484 nt
Filed under: uncultured bacterium
Lineage: Bacteria
Description: partial 16S ribosomal RNA
Rfam family: Bacterial small subunit ribosomal RNA
Source: RNAcentral
AUUGAACGCUGGCGGCAGGCCUAACACAUGCAAGUCGAGCGGAUGAAGGGAGCUUGCUCCUGGAUUCAGCGGCGGACGGGUGAGUAAUGCCUAGGAAUCUGCCUGGUAGUGGGGGAUAACGUCCGGAAACGGGCGCUAAUACCGCAUACGUCCUGAGGGAGAAGGUGGGGGAUCUUCGGACCUCAUGCUAUCAGAUGAGCCUAGGUCGGAUUAGCUAGUUGGUGGGGUAAAGGCCUACCAAGGCGACGAUCCGUAACUGGUCUGAGAGGAUGAUCAGUCACACUGGAACUGAGACACGGUCCAGACUCCUACGGGAGGCAGCAGUGGGGAAUAUUGGACAAUGGGCGAAAGCCUGAUCCAGCCAUGCCGCGUGUGUGAAGAAGGUCUUCGGAUUGUAAAGCACUUUAAGUUGGGAGGAAGGGCAGUAAGUUAAUACCUUGCUGUUUUGACGUUACCAACAGAAUAAGCACCGGCUAACUUCGUG